CGUUCCCGGGCCUUGUACACACCGCCCGUCACACCACGAAAGUUGGUAACACCCGAAGCCGGUGGCCUAACCCGCAAGGGAGGGAGCCGUCGAAGGUGGGAUCAGCGAUUGGGGUG
Molecule: ribosomal RNA, 116 nt
Filed under: uncultured bacterium
Lineage: Bacteria
Description: partial 16S ribosomal RNA
Rfam family: Bacterial small subunit ribosomal RNA
Source: RNAcentral